Molecule: ribosomal RNA, 251 nt
Filed under: uncultured bacterium
Lineage: Bacteria
Description: partial 16S ribosomal RNA
Rfam family: Bacterial small subunit ribosomal RNA
Source: RNAcentral
GACGGGGGGGGCAAGUGUUCUUCGGAAUGACUGGGCGUAAAGGGCACGUAGGCGGUGAAUCGGGUUGAAAGUGAAAGUCGCCAAAAAGUGGCGGAAUGCUCUCGAAACCAAUUCACUCGAGUGAGACAGAGGAGAGUGGAAUUUCGUGUGUAGGGGUGAAAUGCGUAGAGAUGUGGAGGAACACCGAUGGCGAAGGCAGCCCCCUGGGCUGAGAUUGACGCUCAGGCACGAAAGCGUGGGGAGCAAACAGG